GACGAACGCUGGCGGCGUGCUUAACACAUGCAAGUCGAACGGUGAAGCGCCUUCCUUUUUGGUGGGUGUGGAUGAGUGGCGAACGGGUGAGUAACACGUGAGUAACCUGCCCCCUUCUUCUGGAUAACCGCAUGAAAGUGUGGCUAAUACGGGAUAUUCUGGGUCUGUCGCAUGAUGGGUCUGGGUAAGAUAUUGUUUCGGUGGGGGAUGGGCUCGCGGCCUAUCAGCUUGUUGGUGGGGUGAUGGCCUACCAAGGCGGUGACGGGUAGCCGGCCUGAGAGGGUUGACGAUCACGCUGGGGAUGAGACACAGCCACGACUCCUAUGGGACGCAGCAGUGAGGAAUAUUGGACGAUGGGGGCAAGCCUGAUGCAGCGACGCCGCGUGAGGGAUGGAGGCCUUCGGGUUGUGAGCCUCUUUCGCCAGUGAAGCAGGCCUGCCUCGUUUGUGAGUGGGUUGACGGUAGCUGGAUAAGAAGCGCCGGCUAACUACGUG
RNAcentral lists this ribosomal RNA (494 nucleotides) under uncultured bacterium. RNAcentral describes it as "partial 16S ribosomal RNA". It matches the Rfam family "Bacterial small subunit ribosomal RNA", at positions 28 to 507 of the family's 1533-position model. The record is from RNAcentral.